GACGAACGCUGGCGGCGUGCCUAAUACAUGCAAGUAGAACGCACAGUUUAUACCGUAGCUUGCUACACCAUAGACUGUGAGUUGCGAACGGGUGAGUAACGCGUAGGUAACCUGCCUGGUAGCGGGGGAUAACUAUUGGAAACGAUAGCUAAUACCGCAUAAUAUUGAUUAUUGCAUGAUAAUUAAUUGAAAGGUGCAAUUGCACCACUACCAGAUGGACCUGCGUUGUAUUAGCUAGUAGGUGAGGUAACGGCUCACCUAGGCGACGAUACAUAGCCGACCUGGGAGGGUGAUCGGCCACACUGGGACUGAGACACGGCCCAGACUCCUACGGGAGGGAGCAGUAGGGAAUCUUCGGCAAUGGACGAAAGGCUGACCGAGCAACGCCGCGUGAGUGAAGAAGGUUUUCGGAUCGUAAAGCUCUGUUGUAAGGGAAGAACGGGUGGGAGAGUGGAAAGUUCACACUGUGACGGUAUCUUACCAGAAAGGGACGGCUAACUACGUG
Molecule: ribosomal RNA, 505 nt
Filed under: uncultured bacterium
Lineage: Bacteria
Description: partial 16S ribosomal RNA
Rfam family: Bacterial small subunit ribosomal RNA
Source: RNAcentral